Molecule: ribosomal RNA, 428 nt
Filed under: uncultured bacterium
Lineage: Bacteria
Description: bacterial SSU rRNA
Rfam family: Bacterial small subunit ribosomal RNA
Source: RNAcentral
UGGGGAAUCUUGCGCAAUGGGCGAAAGCCUGACGCAGCGACGCCGCGUGAGUGAUGAAGGCCUUCGGGUUGUAAAGCUCUGUGGAGAGGGACGAAUAAGUGUUGGCUAACAUCCAGCAUGAUGACGGUACCUCUUUAGCAAGCACCGGCUAACUCUGUGCCAGCAGCCGCGGUAAGACAGAGGGUGCAAACGUUGUUCGGAAUUACUGGGCGUAAAGCGCGUGUAGGCGGCUUGGCAAGUCGGGUGUGAAAGCCCCGGGCUCAACCUGGGAAGUGCACUCGAAACUGCUUGGCUUGAGUACUGGAGAGGGAAGCGGAAUUCUCGGUGUAGAGGUGAAAUUCGUAGAUAUCGAGAGGAACACCGGUGGCGAAGGCGGCUUCCUGGACAGUCACUGACGCUGAGACGCGAAAGCGUGGGGAGCAAACAGG